The sequence is a ribosomal RNA, 1742 nucleotides long. It matches the Rfam family "Eukaryotic large subunit ribosomal RNA", at positions 1 to 1777 of the family's 3401-position model. The record is from Rfam.
UGACCUCGGAUCAGGUAGGAAUACCCGCUGAACUUAAGCAUAUCAAUAAGCGGAGGAAAAGAAACCAACAGGGAUUGCCCCAGUAACGGCGAGUGAAGCGGCAACAGCUCAAAUUUGAAAUCUGGCCCCCCGGCCCGAGUUGUAAUUUGCAGAGGAUGCUUCUGGCGACGCGCCUUCCGAGUUCCCUGGAACGGGACGCCACAGAGGGUGAGAGCCCCGUCCGGUCGUGCGCCUAGCCUGUGUGAAGCUCCUUCGACGAGUCGAGUAGUUUGGGAAUGCUGCUCUAAAUGGGAGGUAUACGUCUUCUAAAGCUAAAUACCGGCCAGAGACCGAUAGCGCACAAGUAGAGUGAUCGAAAGAUGAAAAGCACUUUGAAAAGAGGGUUAAAUAGUACGUGAAAUUGCUGAAAGGGAAGCGCUUAUGACCAGACUUGGGCCCGGUGAAUCACCCAGCGUUCUCGCUGGUGCACUUUGCCGGCCCAGGCCAGCAUCAGUUCGCGCCGGGGGAUAAAGGCUUCGGGAAUGUAGCUCCCUCGGGAGUGUUAUAGACCGUUGCGCAAUACCCUGGGGCGGACUGAGGUACGCGUUCUGCAAGGAUGCUGGCGUAAUGGUCAUCAGUGACCCGUCUUGAAACACGGACCAAGGAGUCGUCUUUGUAUGCGAGUGUUCGGGUGUCAAACCCCUACGCGUAAUGAAAGUGAACGUAGGAGAGAGCUUCGGCGCAUCUCCGACCGAUCCUGAUGUUCUCGGAUGGAUUUGAGUAAGAGCAUACAGGGCCGGACCCGAAAGAAGGUGAACUAUGCCUGUAUAGGGUGAAGCCAGAGGAAACUCUGGUGGAGGCUCGCAGCGGUUCUGACGUGCAAAUCGAUCGUCAAAUAUGGGCAUGGGGGCGAAAGACUAAUCGAACCUUCUAGUAGCUGGUUUCCGCCGAAGUUUCCCUCAGGAUAGCAGUGUUGAGCUCAGUUUUAUGAGGUAAAGCGAAUGAUUAGGGACUCGGGGGCGCUUUUUAGCCUUCAUCCAUUCUCAAACUUUAAAUAUGUAAGAAGCCCUUGUUACUUAGCUGAACGUGGGCAUUCGAAUGUAUCAACACUAGUGGGCCAUUUUUGGUAAGCAGAACUGGCGAUGCGGGAUGAACCGAACGCGAGGUUAAGGUGCCAGAGUAGACGCUCAUCAGACACCACAAAAGGUGUUAGUACAUCUUGACAGCAGGACGGUGGCCAUGGAAGUCGGAAUCCGCUAAGGACUGUGUAACAACUCACCUGCCGAAUGUACUAGCCCUGAAAAUGGAUGGCGCUCAAGCGUCUCACCCAUACCUCGCCCUCAGGGUAGAAACGAUGCCCUGAGGAGUAGGCGGACGUGGAGGUCAGUGACGAAGCCUAGGGCGUGAGCCCGGGUUGAACGGCCUCUAGUGCAGAUCUUGGUGGUAGUAGCAAAUACUUCAAUGAGAACUUGAAGGACCGAAGUGGGGAAAGGUUCCAUGUGAACAGCGGUUGGACAUGGGUCAGUCGAUCCUAAGCCAUAGGGAAGUUCCGUUUCAAAGGUGCACUUGUGCGCCGUCUGGCGAAAGGGAAGCCGGUCAAUAUUCCGGCACCUGGAUGUGGGUUUUGCGCGGUAACGCAACUGAACGCGGAGACGACGGCGGGGGCCCCGGGCAGAGUUCUCUUUUCUUCUUAACGGUCUCUCACCCUGAAAACGGUUUGUCCGGAGCUAGGGUUUAAUGGCCGGAAGAGCCCAGCACCUUUG